This 232-nucleotide long non-coding RNA is filed under the name Elaeis guineensis (African oil palm). RNAcentral describes it as "long non-coding RNA (EGUI_LNC004306)". Lineage: Eukaryota; Viridiplantae; Streptophyta; Magnoliopsida; Arecales; Arecaceae. The record is from RNAcentral.
UCUCUUCUCUUCCGAUUCACAGAUUCGACGCUCAUUGAACAUCAUAGCGGAAGAUGCUGAGGUGGCAUACUAGAGAUGCUGAGCUAGCAAUUUGAGUUGGCAACACCAUAAUACUUGGAGGCGCUGGCAACACCCCUAGGCUCCUCCAUUGAGUAUCGUUUUAUAUAUAUAUAUAUAUAUAUAUGAUGGGUAUGAAAUGAAAAGGGGAAAUGAUUUGGAUUUGACAACUCCA